UACGGAGGGUGCGAGCGUUAAUCGGAAUUACUGGGCGUAAAGGGCGCGUAGGCGGCUGAUCAAGUCAGGUGUGAAAGCCCACGGCUUAACCGCGGAACUGCGUCGGAUACUGUCUUGCUAGAGGACGGCAGAGGAGACUGGAAUUCACGGUGUAGCGGUGAAAUGCGUAGAUAUCGUGAGGAACACCGGUGGCGAAGGCGAGUCUCUGGACCGUUCCUGACACUCAGGGACGAAAGCGU
Molecule: ribosomal RNA, 239 nt
Filed under: uncultured bacterium
Lineage: Bacteria
Description: partial 16S ribosomal RNA
Rfam family: Bacterial small subunit ribosomal RNA
Source: RNAcentral